UCCGUUUCGAAUGUCAUAUUACGAAUAUGUAAAUAACGACGGAAGCUAGUUCGUAACCUAUACGUGAACUUGUAAUUAUAAUACAUCACUGGUGGCAUUAAGCUUUUAUCCGCCACAGAGUUUGAAACAGGUACGACGCGAUCAGCGUUAACAGAAGCACGUAUCGAUCAAGUGAUCAGUCGGUUAAAGACAGAGGGACAGAAUAAAGCCACAUAAAAUGGGAGCACAUUAUGACCAUGCAUUCUUCUACGUUUCACCUACCGUCUCAUCUCGGUGUACUGAUUCUACCAAGGAAUGAUGUUUUAAAGCAAGAGUAUAUAAAGAUUGUGGGAGACCGCAUAAAAGAAAAUGGAGACGGUACAGCAUCCUUCACCGCUUCACGUAGGCCAUUAUUCUCCAGCAGAUAUUCAAACAUCAUCACAGAAGCUUCUUCAUGCUAUAAAAACAUUAUCGGAUCAGACGAAGAUGCCAACGAAGACUUGAAAGAUAGAAUAUACACGGACUGGGACGAAACCAAAAGUGUAUUGAAUAGACAUCAGGUCAUAAAUUUUAUAUUUCUCAUACCGCCUCAUAGCAGCGACUAUAUUCUAUAGAAACCUGGGGUUUAAUAAGGAAUAUCCAGGUGCUCUGUUGAUUUACAGACAAUGAGCAACGUAAAGGCGAUAAAUUAAUUUACGCUCUCAAGUAAUCGUUUCUAGUAUACAAGUACCAGCAAGGUACUUACAGCAUCACUGCUACCAAGAUUGAGAGCGCUGAAGUACUCCUGUCACAAAAUCUUAUAAACGCUUAUAAUUUUUCCAAAUAUCGAUACAGGACCCUGCAGUCUCAUCUUGUAUGGAGUAAAUCACUAAACCCUGAGUUGCCUGAACAGAGCCUUACUUGAGAAUCUGAUCGUCAGCAGCGUCCAUAAUCUGACACAGUUCCGUUCUCAUGCCUACUCUGGUCCCGUAGGUCACCCUUUCAUUAAACCUUGUAAAAAUAAAUCAAGCAGAAUUACAUCUGAUCUCGACAACCAAGGUAGUAGACCACGACGACCAAUCCAACAAUUUUAUUAUCAAUGAUUCAAGCGAUUCAACUUGAUGACGGAAAAGUGAAGGCGUCCUCUCAUGCUGAAAGAACGCACCACACACUGUUUCCAGAGACACAUUCUGCAUUCCCCAAAAUUAUUCAAAAAAGUCUUGUUCGGAAUGAGGAAGGCUUUGCAAUGGAAACUGUGGCAGACACUUUGAACAGUCAUAAAAUUUAGCAAUGAAUUAAUGCGAUUAAAUCUCUCAUUUAUUUUUCUAUGCGUUCGCCUAGAAACUGUCAUAGUUCCAUACUCGCUGGGAAUUGGACCAAUGUUGUAACAACACUUUUUACAUGAAAUUACAUCCCGAAUCACCCUCUGAUGUAUUGUGGACUGUCUGUAAAACACUCAGUGUAAUAAAAAUGAAACAUUAACAAAUAUUAAAAUUUUUACAAUAACCAAA
This is a non-coding RNA of Zootermopsis nevadensis, 1469 nucleotides long. NCBI's taxonomy places the organism in Eukaryota, Metazoa, Arthropoda, Insecta, Blattodea, Termopsidae. The record is from RefSeq and is a predicted model, not a curated record.